AUCCCAGCACUUUGGGAGGCUGAGGCAGGCAGACUGCUUAAGCUCAGCAGUUUGAGACCAGCCUGGGCAACAUGAUGAAACCCCGUCUCUACAAAAAAUACAAAAAUUAGCCAGGCCUGAUGGUACAUGCCUGUAGUCCCAGCUACUCAGGAGGCUGGGGUGGGAGGAUCACUUCAGCCCUGGAGGUCAAGGCUGCAGUGAGCCGAGAUGGUGCCACUGCACUCCAGCCUAGGAAACAGAGCCAGAUUCUGUCUCAAAAAAAAAAAAAGAUAUAUAUAUAUAUAUCUUUCAAAUAUCUGUAUAUACACACAAUCACAUCAUAUGUGAAACUUCAAAUAAAAGUUUAAUGUGUAAAUGUAUAUAAUCAGAUCAAUCUAAAAGAAGAGAUUUUCUAUAAGCGAUUGUCCUGGACUCUUUGAGUAAUCAGUAUCAUAUUAAAAAUAAAGGCAGGGGGUGGAAUUCUAGGUCACAGUUUAGUAAACUUUUUCCAUAAAGGGCUGGGUACUAAAUCUCUUAGGCUUUAUGGGCCACACAGUCUCGAUCGCAACUGCUCAACUCUCUCAUUGUAGCGUGAAAACAACCAUAGACAUUACAUAAAUAAAAGAGCCUGGCUGUGUUCCAGCAAAAAUGUAUUUACAAAAACAGGUGGUAGGCCAGAUUUGGCCCAUGGGACAUAGUUUGCCUGUUUUACACUAAUGGAGACAAAAUGGACACAGCAACCAAACGCAAUUUGAGAAUCUACAUUGGAUCCUAGCUUGAGGAAAAAACAGUGAUGAAAGAUAUUCGUGGGACAACUGGGGAAACUUGAGUACACACUGGAUACCAGAUGAUAUUAUAGAAUUGUUAAUUUUCUUAAGGAAUGGUAAAGGUAUUGUGGGGAUUAACAUUUAGUCUAGGUUCUUCAUUUCCUGGAUGACCUAGAGGCCAAAAAAAAUACAGCUAUUUGUUCUAAAAUCGCUUCCAAAGAGUGUAAAAUUUGCAGAACAAGAAUUGAGAUUUCUCCCCAUUUACGUGAUGACUGUAGGGCCAUGGUUCUCAACCAGGGGUGAUUUUGCCCCCUAGAGGACAUUUGGCAAUGUUUGGAGACAUUUGUGGUUGUCACAACUAGGGUGGGAUACAACUGGCAUCCCGUGGUUAGAGGCCAGUAAUGUUGCCCAACAUCCUACAAUCUACAAGACAACCACCACAACAAAGAAUUAUCUGGCCCAUGGAGGGCGCAGUGGAUCCUGCCUGUAAUCCCAGCACUUUGGGAGACCGAGGAAGGUGAAUCACCUGAGCUUAGAAGUUUGAGACCAGCCUGGUCAACACAGCAAAAACCCCGUCUCUACUAAAAAUACAAAAAUUAGCCAGGUGUGGUGGCGCACGCUGGUAAUCCCAGCUACCCAAGAGGCUAAGGCAUGAGAAUCACUUGAACCCAGGAGGCAGAGGUUGCAGUGAGCUGAGAUCGCACCACUGCAUUCCAGCCUGGGAGACAGAAGGAGACUCCAUCUCAAAAAACAAACAAACAAACAAAAAACAAUUAUCUGACCCUGAAUGUAGAACCACCCUGCUUUGUAGUGACUACUGAAGCUCUGGGCAUGGACAUGAAGACAGAAGACUAUUUGAAUCCAGCCCUGCCACUGAAGUCUGAGUAACUCUGGGCAAGUUGUUUGACCCUUCCUGAGCCUUUCCUUUCUCAGUCUCCUCAUCUGUAAAAUGGGUAUGUCUGCCCUCCUUGGCUACUUCACAGGGCUGCGGCACAUGCAUCUGCCCGAAUGAGUGGGCAUGGAAGCACCCUGUUUAUGGCAUGGUGGUAUGUACUCCAUGUGAGGCCUGAGGACGGAAGCAGUGUGGAGAGGCUGUAUCAUCUUUAUAAUGACUAGGAGGCCAAGACAUUAGUACCUAAAGCAAAAAAGUAAUUUCAAAUUGCAGCAGAAUCACCUGAAGUUUGGUUAAAACACAUAUUGCUGGGCCCACCCCCAGAGCUUCGAAUUCACUGUUCUGGGGUGAGGCCCCUUAAGGCUUUCUAACAAGUUUCCAGAUAAUCCUGCUACUGCUGGGUGGAAGGAACUAACGUUGAGAAAUUUGGUCUUGAAAUCCGCUCUUUCCUUCCCUUAUCAACAGGGGGUAGCAGAGAGCAGCAAAUAGACAGUCAUUCUUUGAGGAAGCAGGUCAAAAUCCUCAUCAAACCUCCCUCAGUUUCAAUCUAACAAGUGGCAGGAGAGAGGGCUGAAAUAGUGAAUUAUUUAAAUUUAUAUUAUCCCUAUGACCCCAGCAACAAGUCAUUUAACUUGUGCUGAAUCACAAUUUGUGAAACGGGGGAAGCAACCUAAAAGAUAGUGAGAUAAUUUGAUUAAUGUUUGUUGAGCGUUAGAACUUCCAAAGAAAAUUGAAAUGUAUAGGUAAUAAAUUAUUCUGGGAAUUUCUUAUUCUUGGGACUUUUUCUAAAUGUCUGCAUUUUAAACACUUCUGACUCAUUUAUAAACAUUGGUUGCCCUCAUUGAAUUUUCAAUUGUUUAAUAGUUUAGAGGGCAAUACGUUCAAUGCACUCAUUACAUCCAGAAUGUGUAGCAACUUCAAACCAGAGUGACAGUGUAAGGGCAGAUGAGAAGGUGGUCAUCCAGGGGUGAUGGUGACCACAUUCUGAUGGGGCUUUUGGUGGGGGAAAAUCCUUUAAGGUUUUUAAAAGAAUGGUUCCAAAGCUGCCAGAAUAGUUACCUUAAAAAAUCAGAGUUCAGGCCGGGCGCAGUGGCUCACACCUGUAAUCCCAGCACUUUGGGAGGCCAAGGCGGGCAGAUCACCUGAGGUCAGGAGUUCGAGACCAGCCUGGCCAGCAUGGUGAAACCCCGUCUCUACUAAAAUUACAAAAAUUAGCUGGAUGUGGUGGCAGGUGGCUGUCACCCCAGCUACUCGGGAGGCUUGAGAAUCGCUUGAGCCCAGGAGAAGGAGGUUGCAAUGAGCUGAGAGUGCACCAUUGCACUCCAGCCUGGGUAACAGAGUGAGGCCCUGUCCCAAAAAAAAAAAAAAAAAAGCAGAGUUCAGCUCCCAGGAAUCACCCCUUGCAGACUGAUUUCAAUUAUUCAACUGUCAUUUACUGGGCACCAGUAUGUCCCAAGCUCUUGUCUAGGAGAGGACUCAAUAGUGACAAGAGAGACAAGGACUCUGUUCUCAUAGAGCUUGGAUUCCAGACUAAUGUAACAUGUCACCGCACAAGUGUCACUGCAGGAAGAGCGCUAAGCUCUGACCCGGAGUCCCCCAUCUUGGUCAACCCCACUGGCCUCAGCUUAAUCUGCAGGGACAGUUCCUCUGCUGCUUAGAACUGAACAGCCAUUCCUAUUGUCCUUGAAAUUCUGGAAUAAAUUUUUUCUUUGGCGCUCUCCCAUAGGCAUUUUGGGAUUUGGGUACCUUAAUGGUAUAUUAGUAUUUAACCAAUUUUCAUUCUAUGUAUAAUUUUCUCACAAAUGUCAUGUCAUCUCACUAAUCAAAAUGUUUCUCCAGUUUACAAUGUAACUGCCAUUAUUAAUUUCACUGCAUGGGUUUGUUGUUUUGUUUUAUUUUGGUUUUGAGACAGGGUCUCACUCUGUCACUCAGGCUGGAGUACAGCGGUGCGAUCUCAGCUCACUACGACUUCCGCCUCCUGGGCUCAAGCGAUUCUCCCACCUCAGCACCCCAGAGUAGCUAGGACCACAGAAUGAGUUUGCUCAUCUGUGUUCUAAAGCAUGCUGGACUCCACUUAGAACUGAACUGGGCAAACAAGAUUUAUUCAGAGAACUUCAAUUAUGUGAGACAUAAUUUUCUUUCUUUUUACAUUUCUUUAAAAAAAAAUUUUUUUUUAGGGGUUUCACCACAUUGCCCAGGCUGGUCUUGAACUCCUGGACUCAAGUGAUCCACCCACUUUGGCCCUCCCAAACUGCUGGGAUUACAGGUGUGAGCCACUGCACCAGGCCAAUUUUCAUAAUAGAGCACUUUGAUCUCUUACCCUCAAUUUCAUGUCACAUUCAUUAUUCUGAAGUGAUGACAAAUGUUGUAUUAUGUGCCAUAGUAAGCUAAGUGUAUAUUGCUAAUGAAUUGCCAUCCUGGGAUGUCAUAAAAGACCUUUCUGAAGAAAAAAAAUUCUAAGAAUCCUCUCAAGAGCUUAUACAAAUAGGAGAAUCAUAACACGAGGAAGCAAGUGAUUUGGGGAGAAUUUCACACAUCCCCAAAAGCACCAACCAUAAAGAAAAAGAUUGAUAUAUCUGAUUAUGUCAUCAUUUAAAAGUAUACAAAGGGCCAGGCGCUGUGGCUGACACCUGUAAUCCCAGCACUUUGGCAGGCCAAGGCGGGCGGAUUGCCUGAGCUCAGGAGUUCAAGACCAGCCUGGCCAACAUGGUGAAACCCUGUCUCUACUAAAAUACCAAAAAUUAGCCAGGUGUGGUGGUGCACGCCUGUAGUCCCAGCUACUUGGGAGGCUGAGGCAGGAGAAUGGCGUGAACCCGGGAGGCAGAGCUGGCAGUGAGCUGAGAUCACGCCACUGCACUCCAGCCUGGGCGACAGAGUGAGACUCCGUCUCAAAAAAUAAUAAUAAUAAUAAAUAAAUAAAAUAAAAGUAUAUGAAAAAGACAUUACAAACUUCUUGUUUGUAGAAAAGAACCACAGAAUUCUCAUUCACUGCUGGUGGAAAUGCAACAUGGAACAACCACUUUGGAACAGUUCAGCAGUUUUUUAUAAGGUUAAAUAUACACAUACCAUAACUCCUAGGUAUUUACCCAAGAGAAAUAAGAUAUAUGUUCAUACAAUGACUUGUACUCAGAUGUUCACAAUAGUGUUAUUUCUAAUAGCCACAAACUAGAAACAAUCUUAAGUUUCCACCAACUGGAGAAUAGAUAAAUAAAUUGUGGUAUAUCCAUGUACUGAAAUACAGUCAUGCACUGCAUAAAGACAUUACAUAUAUGCAACAGUGGUCCCAUAAGAUUAUAAUGGAGCUGAAAAAUUCCUAUUGCCUAGUAUUUACAAUAUUAUACUUUGUAUCAUUUAUUUUAGAGUGUAGAGUGUAUCAUCUAUUUUAUAAGUAAAGUCCUUCUACUUAUUUAAAAAAAAAAAAGUUAACUGUACACCAGCCUCAGGCAGGUCCUUCAGGAGGUAUUUCAGAAGAAGGCAUUGUUAUUAAAACAGAUGACAGUCCCAUGGGUGUUAUUGCCCCUGAAGACCACCCACUGGGACAAGAUGUGGAGGUGGAAGACAGUGAUACUGAUGAUCCUGACCCUGUGUAGGCCUAGGCUAAUAUGUGUGUUUGUGUCUUAGUUUUUAAUAAAAAGUUUAUUAAGGUCUCUUGGCAUUGUGUUUUGUUUUUGUUUUUGAAAUG
Molecule: long non-coding RNA, 5320 nt
Filed under: Homo sapiens (human)
Lineage: Eukaryota; Metazoa; Chordata; Mammalia; Primates; Hominidae
Description: LHRI_LNC1263.2
Source: RNAcentral